AAAUCAAUGGUACAGUGACAACCAAUUUUAUCAUAAACAUAUGUAUUGGCUUUGUAUCAGUCCACAAUUUGUGGUAUCAAAACAAAGAAGUUAGGUAUGGACAAAAUCUUUUUUUUUUUGGUGAGGGUUUUGAUAAGAGAGUUCGUGUCCAUGUUUUGUGGCAUAAUUUUAGUAACAUGAGUUCAUGUCCACGUAUUGUUGUAUGAUAUUAUGGAAUCAAAACCGAGAGUUUGUCCAUAUUAUCUACUAUAAACACAUUAACAUCGCAUUUCCAAACAUUACUCAUCACUCAUCCACACAUCACCCAUCCACAAAUCACCCAACCACACAUCACCCGUCCACAA
This 344-nucleotide long non-coding RNA is filed under the name Brassica napus (rape). Its description in RNAcentral is "long non-coding RNA (BNAP_LNC012137)". The record is from RNAcentral. Lineage: Eukaryota; Viridiplantae; Streptophyta; Magnoliopsida; Brassicales; Brassicaceae.